Molecule: ribosomal RNA, 253 nt
Filed under: uncultured bacterium
Lineage: Bacteria
Description: partial 16S ribosomal RNA
Rfam family: Bacterial small subunit ribosomal RNA
Source: RNAcentral
UACAGAGGUCUCAAGCGUUGUUCGGAUUCAUUGGGCGUAAAGGGUGUGUAGGUGGCUCUGUAAGUCGGGUGUGAAAUUUCGGAGCUUAACUCCGAAACUGCAUUCGAUACUGCGGUGCUUGAGGACUGGAGAGGAGACUGGAAUUCAUGGUGUAGCAGUGAAAUGCGUAGAGAUCAUGAGGAAGACCAGUGGCGAAGGCGGGUCUCUGGACAGUUACUGACACUGAGGCACGAAGGCGAGGGGAGCAAACAGG